This 253-nucleotide ribosomal RNA is filed under the name uncultured microorganism. Its description in RNAcentral is "partial 16S ribosomal RNA". It matches the Rfam family "Bacterial small subunit ribosomal RNA", at positions 524 to 776 of the family's 1533-position model. The record is from RNAcentral.
UACGGAGGGUGCGAGCGUUAAUCGGAAUUACUGGGCGUAAAGCGCGCGUAGGUGGCUUGAUAAGCCGGUUGUGAAAGCCCCGGGCUCAACCUGGGAACGGCAUCCGGAACUGUCAAGCUAGAGUGCAGGAGAGGAAGGUAGAAUUCCCGGUGUAGCGGUGAAAUGCGUAGAGAUCGGGAGGAAUACCAGUGGCGAAGGCGGCCUUCUGGACGGUUACUGACGCUGAGACGCGAAAGCGUGGGGAGCAAACAGG